RNAcentral lists this unclassified non-coding RNA (384 nucleotides) under Hevea brasiliensis (rubber tree). Lineage: Eukaryota; Viridiplantae; Streptophyta; Magnoliopsida; Malpighiales; Euphorbiaceae. The record is from RNAcentral.
GAAUUUGGUGUCUGGGAGAUCUUUUUGCCAAAUAAUGCAGAUGGUUCACCACCAAUUCCUCAUGGUUCUCGAGUGAAGGUACGCAUGGAUACUCCAUCUGGCAUCAAAGAUUCUAUCCCUGCUUGGAUCAAGUUCUCAGUCCAGGCACCUGGUGAAAUUCCGUACAAUGGCAUAUACUAUGAUCCGCCAGAGGAGGAGAAGUAUGUGUUCAAACAUCCACAGCCAGAGAGACCAAAAUCACUUAGGAUUUACGAGUCACAUGUUGGAAUGAGUAGUACGGAGCCAAUAAUUAACACAUAUGCCAACUUUAGAGAUGAUGUAACUUCCUCGUAUCAAAAGCCUUGGCUACAAUGCUGUUCAGAUCAUGGCUAUUCAAGAGCAUUC